AUACGUGAUAUGUAUAUGCGAUAUAUUGUUUAGUGACUAUAGUAUUAUCUUAUUCUCGUAAAGGAUUUGGACGAGACGUGUACGCUCGAAGACGUCAGAAAGUCGGAAUGGUAUUGCAAAGCGAAUAAGGGAUGAAUCGAGUAAGCGAAGCGAUGUGGCGAAUAGAGUAUAGCUAGAGAUGGUCUAGAGAUUACGAGAUGCAUAGAUUGUGAAAGUUGAAAGAUGAGAUAGAGAUGUGAGACUGGAGUCAGAUUUAAGGCAAGUAUCCUAAACCUUUCCCUUGGAUAUAUUGCAAAUAUUCUGAUCCAUUCCUUUGGUAUAUGUUUCAAGUAUUCAUACCUUUCUUUUCAAUGUUCGAAAGUGCGAGUAUUCUGAACCAUUCUUUCUAAUCUUCAAGUUUCUAAAGAAUUUCCGUUUUACAAAUUAAUUCGAAGUUCAGAUUGUCAUUGAAGCAUGUGUUGCUCAGUGAUAGUUAGAGCUUUGAAUGAAUUGGGAUCUUCUUGAUUAUUCAACCCGCCAUUGUCAUGCUGGUUUAGCAGGCUAAAUUCAGUUGCUUAGCCGAUAAUGGAGGAUACUGAAUAGUUGAGGAUUUCCUGAACUGUGAUUUAUGAAAUGAUGGAUCAUGAUUUAUGAAUAGAUUAUUAUCAAAGUUUGAAUUGGAAUUAUUCUGUUGUUGAUGAUAUUUAUGAUGAUGUUCUGUUAAUUUACAUUGGCUUCUUGAAUUGAAUUAGAGAAUUGGAUUAUUGUUUUUAUAUAAACCUGUGGACCAGAUUCGUGGUCAUGUUAGGCCAAUGAGUGCCUUGGAUCCAGUGAUAGAGCAUGGCGGGGCCUGCUCGGGGUUAGUGCGGAACUGAUCAGCUGCCUAACCUUGGUUUUAAUUAAAAUGUGAUAGUCCAAUUCAAUAAUUCUUUUGGAAAGAUUGAAUUCCUCAGUAUUCAAUUGCUGCAAGGUAUUGUGGUGUUCUUAUACAAUACCUAAACUCGUGAACUCAGGUUGAACCCUUUUAUAUCUUGAACUCGUGAAAUUCUAUUAUAUCAUUUCAGAACUAUCAUUGUUUAUUAUUACUUGCUGAGCAUUGUUGCUCACCCUUGCUAUUCCUUUCUAACCAUUUCAGAAAGGCUUAAAGAUGAGAUGAUUGAUUGAGAUUGUGAGUAAGGCUAAUGCUAGGCGAGGAGACAGAGUUGAGGAUCCAGUGGUCGAGGAGUGUUCAGGAAAGUUGAUGAGGUUGGUGCAAGCUGGAAUAGUUGACAGUGAUUCUUCUUAUCGAAGAUGAUCUGAUUUGGUAAGAGAUGUUGUGUAAUAAUAGUGGUAGAUUCUAAUUUCAAUACUGUAACCUGGAUGCGAUCCUGUUGCUUUUAGGGGGUUUAAAUGUUCUCUUUCGAAUCAUUUAUUAAAGUUUAAAUGUUCUCUUGAAAUUAUCCUAUUAUGGCUUUCAAGAUUGAAAUUCAGGUUUUGAAAUCAUUCGAUUUAUGUUCUCAUUCAAAUCUUUUAUUAAAUGUUUUCACGUUUUAAAUUCUUUUGGAUUUUCAUUAUCAUUUAAAAAAAAAAAAUACAGGUUUUCAAAAGUGUUUAAAAAUGGGUUUUAUGUGGUGACGUCAGAAUCCAGGCCCCCGGAUUCUCGGACCGUCACAGUUGGUAUCAGAGCAACAGGUUAUAAGUAUUUGAAAUUAGAAUAUAGAUCAUAGUUAUAGGUUUUCUAGAGAAGAAUGUGGUGUAACCUCACAUAGAGGUAUGGUCGGACUAUUUAGGAAUAGUCUAGAGAUGUGAGUGAAGCAUAGAGUUUAGUUAGAUGAUCAAGUUAAUUGUGGAUAUCUAAAGAGAUUAGGAUUCUUAAGUUUAGACAUAUGAUUUCUAGUAUGUUGAUUAAUUGAGAUGGUGAAUUAUGGGAAAGGUCAGUAUUAGACCUAUAUAGAAGAGUUUGAUAGUGAAUGAUUGAGUUGAGAAUGGUGAAAAUGCAGAGUUCAGAGUAUUCUGACUAUACUGCAUAUUUGAAAUUGGAUUAUUGUAUUGAUUUGAGGAUGAUAUAAAUGCAUGGUUCAUAGUAUGUUGACCAUGUCAGAUAUUUGGAAGAUGUAUAUUGUUUUGAGUGAAGAUAUGAAGAGUAAGUGUAGAGUAUGAGUUGUAUUGGAUUAGAAGGAGAGAUUGGUAGAUAGAGGUUGAUAGGUGAGAAGUGAAUGAUAGAGAGUACGUGGAAUUGAGUCCAGUUAUUAGAGAUGAUGUCUACGAGUAAGUUAGAACGUUAGUCCUCGACGACAACGCUUCGAGCUAAUCGGGAUUUCAAAUGGCAUCAAGGUGGGCCCAUAACCCACAGGUUGAUGAUCCAGACAAUCGAAGAUACGUUACGUGUUUGUGCUAUGGAUUUCAAAGGCAACUGGGAUAAAGUAGAAGAAUGUAAACUACAUGGGCCAGAGUUAUUACGGACGAUAACGUCUACGAUGAUAUUUUACGAGGCUAAUACGAGUCAAAUCGAUUGAUUAUCGGGAACGUUGAGAAGAAGACUUACGUCGAACAACGAUUUAUUGAAGUAGAGUCGAAAUCUGAGAAGACCUUGGCAAUACCUCUCUUCAACUAAAGAUUCUUUUGAUUGUUUUCUCAUCAGUGAGAUAUUAUUAUGAUAUCUUUUCUACAAAAGUUUUGAUAAAUGAGAUCUUCAAUUUCUCAAAUUCUAAGAUGACAUUGAUAUUGAUGAUUGGUAUGAGUUGGAAGACAAAGAUGUGUGAUAAAGGAUUGUUGUGAAGAGACAGUGAUGUUCUUUGAUAUUGUUUGACAUUUCUUGACAGUCCUUGAUAUUAUUUCAUCUUCUUGGAUAUCCCAUGAUGUUCUUUGAUAUUUUGAUAUCCGUUGAUAUUCGUUGAUAUUCUUUGACAUUCUUUGAUAUUCCUUGAUAUCUUUUCGAUGUUCCUUAAAAUAUUCCUCGAUAAUCCUUAACAUUUCUUGAUGCUCUUUGAGAUUUCUUGGAUUCUUUCCAUUUGAUUGGGAUGAACAACUCUAUUUAUAGGGGACACAAGGUAUACCUGUCUGUGUGAUAGGAGUUGGAUGGGACGCCAUCACUUGUGUGUGUUGUGAUUACAAGAAGGUUAACAACCUUUAGUAGUGUCUAAUAUAGACACGCAACAUUAAGUUCAUUUGAUCGUAUUGAUCUCCCAGUCACUCUUGUAUUCCAAUGUGACCUACUUUGAAAGCAUUUUGUUCCUCCAAAAUUCCCAAAGAUUGAUUCUUGGGAAAACGAAUUUGGCAAUUGUGAAAGUUUUGAUUCUCCUGUAUUUUUAAAAGCUAAAGGUAUGCCAAGGUUGAUCAAAAGAUGGAUGACGAUACGAUAUUACGAAGUGUGUACGGUUUCGUUUUCUUCGGGGGGUUCCGAGGACGGAAUCCUUAUAAGGGGGUAGAAUGUAAUAUCCCAUAUUUUUUAAAUUUAGACUUGAUUGUUAUAAAUCUAUCUGUCUAAAUAUUAUUGUUGGCUUUAGUUGAGAAGUGAAUUGAUUAUGUGAAUAGCUUUAUAUGAUUAUACCUGUUUUGUGGAUUAAUAUGGAUUUUACAAAUAUUGCAUCCUCCUUCUUUCUCUGAUUCCGAGGACGGAAUCCCUAUAAGGAGGGUAGAUUGUAAUGACCCGGAUUUUUUAAAAAUAUUUUUAUUAGUAUUAAAAGUGAUUUUUCUUUAAAGAAGGGAAUAAGAUUUAAUAUUUUAUUCCAGUUUAAGGAGUUUUCAAAAUUUUAUACUAAACCCCGGGUUAUUGUGUUAUUGAUAAAUGAUUAUAUUUUUAAAACUGAUUUUCAUAUAUUGUUUCGAAAAUUCUAGAUGAUUAUUAUGUGAAUAUAUGUGUGAUGUGAGUAAGUGGUAUUGGUGGAUUUGUUGGUUAAUUAAUUAUGGUUAAUUAUGAGUAUUAUAUGAUUAAUAUAUGAAUUUUUGUGAAUUUUAUAUUAUCUGGUUUAUUGCGUUAACUGCUCAUAUGUGUUCGUAUUUGAGAGAUUUCAAUUUCUAUAUGCUCAGGAGAAAAUAUAGUUUAUUUGGAUAUUUUCAUAUCGAUUUAUGGAAUGUUAGAUGAUUUUAUAAUCGAUUUACGGAUUUAAUUGCGUAUAUUUAUAUUUAAUUAUUAAUUAUUUGACUUCCGUAAAACCGUCCACUCGUAACGAGGUAGCAAAUUUUCUUCCCGGAAGUUUCAACAAAACUGACCUUUAGCCUAAUUUGAAUAUUCCGGACACUUUUCGUGUUUUGACUUUUUCGAUCCGGAGUACGGUUUUCCCCGGAGUCGGUCCGGCGGAGUUUUUCGGGUAUUUUAAUUGUUGAUAAUUAUCCAGUUUGUCUCGAUAAACGUGAAACGAGAUAUUUUGAUUAUUAUAUUAAUUCUUAUCUUGUAAUAAUUGCAAUGGGACCCGCAUACUAAUGACUGAUUAAAAAGCCCCGUUUUGAUGAUUAUCUUGAAAACCAGUACCGAUUGGACCCCGCUUUAUUAAUAUAAAGCUAUUAAAUACGUAUUUUCAUGUCAUAAACGAUCCAAAGGGGUACCAAUUAUUUGUAAAUAUAAAUAGACCUUUCUAGAGCUUAUUUUCACCCGUAAAAUCAUUUCACCAGUUUCUUUGCACGAAUACCGAGAGAAACCGAGCGGUGUUCUUCGUGUUCUUCAUAAUCAAACGAAGAUUUGAAGGUGUUAUUGGAGUCAGAAUCAAGCGUGCAAAUAGUCAAAUCGAAGAUAUCGAAGAGUAGAACCCAAAUCAAUCAUCAAAAACAACAUGAGAUUCACAGGUAGGGAGUAAUUGAAGUUUUAAAAUUCGAAUUAUUAUGAUUUAAAUAGUGAAUUUUUGCAAACGUGUUUGUUUGAUUGUUUGGAUGAUUCCAUGUUGUAGAACGUGUUUUUCUCGUCGUUUUGGUAUAUUAUAUGUUGAAUUUUGAGUUCGGAAACAUCUAGAAAAGUGGGUUUGAUUAUUUGGUUGUGUUCUUGGUGUUCUUGAGGUGUUCAUAAAUAUUUUCACCGGAUUUUUUAUUAGAUGAAUCUGGGUGCAAUAUGAGGGUACCAUCAGGGGUGUUGGGUUACCAGGAGUUUGUUGGUGGUCUUGGAUGUUUCGUGGGUGCUCGAUUUCGAGCAAAUCGGGAAGGGAGGUGACUCGCCGGCGGCGAGUUUUUCCCGUCAUAUUCCAGCCAAACGGCUUGAGGAAUCGCAGAAACGAAGCCAUGUCCAAGUUCCCAGUAGUGUCUAGGCCAUAUCUGGAGGUUUUAGUGUGUGUUGGAGCGCUGUAGCGCCGUUAACGGUGAAGCAGUGGUGGCCGGCGGCAAAUUGCCAUUUGGCCACCCAACUUAUGAAGAUGGUGAAGAUCUGGUAUCGAGGUUUUGAAUCUUACAAAGUAACCCCUGUAACUUCUAAAAGUUACAGUUUAAACCUUGGCCGAAAAGUUUCAAAAGUUUACAAAAUAAACCUUUUGAUUUAAUUUUCUAAAAUUGUUUUAUUUAAUUAUUUUAAAUUUCAAAAAUAGUUUUUAAUUAUUUCUUUAUUCAAAAAUAAAUCUAAAUUAGUUUAUUAAUUAAUUUUAAUUAGUAAUUAAUUAUUUUAAUUGGUCAAUUAAUUUAAAUAUUAAUUGAUUAAUUAUUUUAAUUAAUUAUUAAUUGAUUUUAAUUGAUUAAUUAAUUGGAUUUAAUUAUCCUUUUUGAUUUAAAAAUUCCGAAAAAUAGUUUCGAGCUUUAAAAUAUUUUUCCAAAUUAUAUUCAAGGCUCGAUAAUUGUUUAUGAAUGAUUUCAAGUCCAAUUUCAAGUAUUUGGGACUUGAUUAUUUAUCCGAAAAGUGAUUCUUUUAUCGAUUUUAAUUCCGAAAAAUGUUUAAAAAUUCCAGAAAAUUCCCGAAAAAUCAUUUUGAACCCAAGAUUUGAUUUGACCUCUAUUGGGGUGGGAAACCUUAUGUGUAAUGUGUUGUCUGCUAUUGGUUGGAUGUCUUAUGUGUCGAUAUAAGAGUGAGAAAACGGUUUUAAACAUAUCUUUUGAUCCGUAAGUCGGAAUCGAGUGAAACGAAAGAGAGAUGAAAGCUUAUAAAGUCUAGUUUGGUAUGACAUAAUAAUAUGAUGGAGUCGAGAAUGUGAAUAAUUGUUGUUAAAUGUGCCGAAUGUGAUUAUAUGUUAUUGGAUUGUUAUUAAUUGAUGACUACGUGAUAUAUAUGUCUAUUCUUGAUAUUAUAUACGUGAUAAAUGAUUUGGAUGACAUAGUGUCGUGAGUUGAUUGAUAUUGGAUAAGAAUAUAUGGAUUAUAGUGAUUGGAUCUUGUUGAUUGGUUGUUGAUUGAGAUAGGAUAACAGGUGGAUAGUCUUAUACAUAGAGGAAACGAUGUCGGAAUUUCGAUAAGGAUUGAUAUGAUAAUUGAUUGGUGAUAUGUUAUGUGGAAUAUGAUUGAUUAUAUGUUAGAGUCAAAGCAUGCUUAUGUGUUACGUGGUAUGUGAUAGGUUUAAAGGGGUAUAUAAGUGGAUAUCGAUAUACGUGAUAUGUAUAUGCGAUAUAUUGUUUAGUGACUAUAGCAUUAUCUUAUUCUCGUAAAGGAUUUGGACGAGACGUGUACGCUCGAAGACGUCAGAAAGUCGGAAUGGUAUUGCAAAGCGAAUAAGGGAUGAUUGAGUAAGCGAAGCGAAGUGGCGAAUAGAGUAUAGCUAGAGAUGGUCUAGAGAUUACGAGAUGCAUAGAUUGUGAAAGUGGAAAGAUGAGAUAGAGAUGUGAGACUGGAGUCAGAUUUAAGGCAAGUAUCCUACACCCAUCUUUUGGAUAUCUUGCAAUUAUCCUGAUCCAUUCUUUUCGUAUGUGUUGCAAAUAUUCGUUCCUCUCUUUUUCAUAUUUGGAAAGUGCAAAUAUUUUUAUCCAUCCUUUUCUAAUCCUCCAAAAAUUCAGAUAAUUCCAGUUUUACAAAUUAAUUCGAAGUUCAAAUUGUCAUUGAAGCAUGUGUUGCUCAGUGAUAGUUAGAGCUUUGAAUGAAUUGGGAUCUUCUUGAUUAUUCACCCCGCCAUUGUCAUGCUGGUUUAGCAGGCUAAAUUCAGUUGCUUAGCCGAUAAUGGAGGAUACUGAAUAGUUGAGGAUUUCCUGAACUGUGAUUUAUGAAAUGAUGGAUCAUGAUUUAUGAAUAGAUUAUUAUCAAAGUUUGAAUUGGAAUUAUUCUGUUGUUGAUGAUAUUUAUGAUGAUGUUCUGUUAAUUUACAUUGGCUUCUUGAAUUGAAUUAGAGAAUUGGAUUAUUGUUUUUAUAUAAACCUGUGGACCAGAUUCGUGGUCAUGUUAGGCCAAUGAGUGCCUUGGAUCCAGUGAUAGAGCAUGGCGGGGCCUGCUCGGGGUUAGUGCGGAACUGAUCAGCUGCCUAACCUUGGUUUUAAUUAAAAUGUGAUAGUCCAAUUCAAUAAUUCUUUGGAAAGAUUGAAUUUCUCAGUUUAAAUGCUGCAAGGUAUUGUAAAUCAUUCUAUACAAUACCAUGAACUCAUGAACUCAGGUUGAAUCCUCUUAUAUCUUGAACUCGUGAACUUCUGUUAUAUCAUUUCAGAACUAUCAUUGUUUAUUAUUACUUGCUGAGCAUUGUUGCUCACCCUUGCUAUUCCUUUCUAACCAUUUCAGAAAGGCUUAAAGAUGAGAUGAUUGAUUGAGAUUGUGAGUAAGGCUAAUGCUAGGCGAGGAGACAGAGUUGAGGAUCCAGUGGUCGAGGAGUGUUCAGGAAAGUUGAUGAGGUUGGUGCAAGCUGGAAUAGUUGACAGUGAUUCUUCUUAUUGAGGAUGAUCUGAUUUGGUAAGAGAUGUUGUGUAAUAAUAGUGGUAGAUUCUAAUUUCAAUACUGUAACCUGGAUGCGAU
RNAcentral lists this long non-coding RNA (7794 nucleotides) under Daucus carota (carrot). Its description in RNAcentral is "long non-coding RNA (DCAR_LNC005415)". Lineage: Eukaryota; Viridiplantae; Streptophyta; Magnoliopsida; Apiales; Apiaceae. The record is from RNAcentral.